CGGCGAACGGGUGAGUAACACGUGGGUAACCUGCCCCGAUGAUUGGGACAACCCGAGGAAACUCGGGCUAAUACCAAAUGUGACCCUGGCCGUAAGGGCCAGGAGGAAAGGAAGCUUCGGCCUCCGCAUCGGGAUGGGCCCGCGGCCCAUUAGCUUGUUGGUGGGGUAAAGGCCCACCAAGGCGACGAUGGGUAGCUGGUCUGAGAGGACGAUCAGCCACACUGGGACUGAGACACGGCCCAG
This 243-nucleotide ribosomal RNA is filed under the name uncultured bacterium. RNAcentral describes it as "partial 16S ribosomal RNA". It matches the Rfam family "Bacterial small subunit ribosomal RNA", at positions 96 to 334 of the family's 1533-position model. The record is from RNAcentral.